CCUACGGGGGGCAGCAGUGGGGAAUAUUGGACAAUGGGCGAAAGCCUGAUCCAGCCAUGCCGCGUGUGUGAAGAAGGCCUUCGGGUUGUAAAGCACUUUCAGUGGGGAAGAAAGCCUUGGGGCUAAUACCCUCGAGGAAGGACAUCACCCACAGAAGAAGCACCGGCUAACUCCGUGCCAGCAGCCGCGGUAAUACGGAGGGUGCGAGCGUUAAUCGGAAUUACUGGGCGUAAAGCGCGCGUAGGCGGUCUGAUAAGCCGGUUGGGAAAGCCCCGGGCUCAACCUGGGAACGGCAUCCGGAACUGUCAGGCUAGAGUGCAGGAGAGGAAGGUAGAAUUCCCGGUGUAGCGGUGAAAUGCGUAGAGAUCGGGAGGAAUACCAGUGGCGAAGGCGGCCUUCUGGACUGACACUGACGCUGAGGUGCGAAAGCGUGGGUAGCAAACAGGAUUAGAUACCCCAGUAGUC
Molecule: ribosomal RNA, 465 nt
Filed under: Vreelandella stevensii
Lineage: Bacteria; Pseudomonadati; Pseudomonadota; Gammaproteobacteria; Oceanospirillales; Halomonadaceae
Description: partial 16S ribosomal RNA
Rfam family: Bacterial small subunit ribosomal RNA
Source: RNAcentral